The sequence is a transfer RNA, 76 nucleotides long. The stretch from base 7 to 65 matches the Rfam family "tRNA", at positions 8 to 63 of the family's 71-position model. Rfam says of the family: Transfer RNA (tRNA) molecules are approximately 80 nucleotides in length. Their secondary structure includes four short double-helical elements and three loops (D, anti-codon, and T loops).
GGCCGCUAGGCUAAUUGCCCUAGGACACCGCCCUUUCACGGCGGUAACAGGGGUUCGAGUCCCCUAGGGGACGCCA